UACGUAGGGGGCAAGCGUUGUCCGGAAUGACUGGGCGUAAAGGGCGCGUAGGCGGCCGCACAAGUCCGGAGUGGAAGUCCUGUUUUCAAGGCAGGAAUGGCUCUGGAAACUGUGAGGCUUGAGUGCGGGAGAGGUUAUCGGAAUUCCCGGUGUAGCGGUGAAAUGCGUAGAGAUCGGGAGGAACACCAGUGGCGAAGGCGGGUAACUGGACCGCAACUGACGCUGAGGCGCGAAAGUGUGGGGAGCAAACAGG
This 253-nucleotide ribosomal RNA is filed under the name uncultured bacterium. RNAcentral's name for it is "partial 16S ribosomal RNA". It matches the Rfam family "Bacterial small subunit ribosomal RNA", at positions 524 to 776 of the family's 1533-position model. The record is from RNAcentral.